GGUAAUUUACCUGGUUCCACCAUCCUUUGACUAAGACAUGUUAUAUAGAGGCGAGGAGUAAUUGUGGAGUUCGCCAGCAGGGGGUAGUGUGGCAUUUAUUGUGCUCCACGGGGCUUUACGUCAGUUUUGUCCGCUUUGCGAUUUUCCUCUUUCUGCUGAGCGAGACGAAAAACGGACGCAGAGUUCGCCUGGUCUCAUUUAUUUCUCCUGUUUUCAGGGCCAGAUGUGGAAAAGACCAGGAAGAAGCCGGUGGAAGAGGAGACCCAUUGGAGAGCUGGCUGAACUGAUACUGGUUAGAGUAAUGGACAAGCAGGGUGAAGACAGGAACUGCAGUCAGGCUGAAAGCAGAUACGGCACAGUUGUCGUGAUCAGCUGCGAAAGGAGAUGGGGAUAUGUGACGAGAGGGGAGGGGUUGAGAGCCAUGGGAACAGAGCAAGGCCGGUGGAGUAAGUGAUAAUGCAUGACACCUGUGCCACUCACCAGUCUCGAGUCUCACGGAGGAGCUCCAGAAGGAUAAAAGGAGGAGUGACGACAGUGCAAGACGGGAGAGGACCAGGCCUACACUUUAUUUUGUGUUUUGGUUCUUUUGUAUUAAUUUUAUUAUUAAAGUUUUGUUUGAAUGUU
Long non-coding RNA from Carassius gibelio (silver crucian carp), 624 nucleotides. RefSeq lists it as uncharacterized. The record is from RefSeq and is a predicted model, not a curated record. NCBI's taxonomy places the organism in Eukaryota, Metazoa, Chordata, Actinopteri, Cypriniformes, Cyprinidae. The transcript has 4 exons.